GUUUCGCGCUCUCCCUUUUGCACCGAGAUAUUUGGUUCAAAAGUGAUUUGUGCAUCUGUAGAGGUAGUGGGCGGGACUGUUUAGAGAUUACAGAAUUUCAGCCAAUCAGAAGAGCUUACUGAGCCGGUAGAUAUACGCCCCAAGCAGUUUUACGCCCCUGUUGUUCCUCAUGCGUCCAGUAGGGGGAGGCAGUAUAUUAGUAUAUGAGCCCAGUCAUUUAUAAGAACAGCAGACCAUAUCUAUAUGUAUGAUAGCAGCAGACCUUCUUGAAGCGAUACGGAUGAGUGUUCCAUCAAUAUUGUUCAUUGAAGAUCAGGAGCGAAUUGAUGUUAUCUACACUCAGAUGACUUCAAUUUUGGAUGGCACACCUACACACACCCACAGUGACCAGAUCAGAUUCAUUAUGGAUGUCCCUUUUCCAGAGGUAUGGUCUUGUGUGUUAGUUGUGCUCUGCAUGGUGUCAUAUUCACAUUGUUUUUAAUGUCAAAUAGUUUAUCCAUAAUGUUAGAUAAUUUCUAUAAAAUAAUAGUUUUGUGCUUAAUAUAGAAAAGGAACUUUGGAUUUUGUUGUAAAAAAAAAAAAAAAAAGCAAAA
Long non-coding RNA from Carassius gibelio (silver crucian carp), 593 nucleotides. RefSeq lists it as uncharacterized. Lineage: Eukaryota; Metazoa; Chordata; Actinopteri; Cypriniformes; Cyprinidae. The transcript is spliced from 2 exons. The record is from RefSeq and is a predicted model, not a curated record.